This 693-nucleotide long non-coding RNA is filed under the name Leguminivora glycinivorella. Its description in RNAcentral is "uncharacterized LOC125241528". Lineage: Eukaryota; Metazoa; Arthropoda; Insecta; Lepidoptera; Tortricidae. The record is from RNAcentral.
AAAUUGGUUGAUAAUACUCCACAUUUUGCAACAACACUUUUAGGCGGCGGGAGGGGUCGUCUGUGACUUCAAGCACUUCCUUUUCAGUUACCUCAGUGGCCAGAAUGAGACGAGCCAUGGAAUAUGCUGGACACGAAAAGACUAUAUGUUGUACAUCACAGAUGUUACCACAGUUGGUGCAUUUGUCAUCACCAAUGAUCCCAAGUUUGGCUAGGUGUGCAGGUGUUUUAGUGUGACCAAAACGGAGGCGGUUUAAAGUUGUGAUGAAGUCGCGACUUGCUGUUCUUAACUUGUGGUACCAUGGCUUAACUGCAAAAUGCGAGACAGUUCGGGAGGAUGGCCAUUGAGAAGAUCAGCACCUGUUGUUAGAGGCUCCCUACAGUUUAAUUCGCAAGGUCAGAUAUGAGAGAAAGGAAGCUGUCUGCGCAGCUCCUACCCUUCCUGAAGCCAUAUUGCACAUGAGGAAUGAUGCCGUUAGAUUCAACAAACCAGUCAAGUCGACACUUAAUAAUAUUUUCAAAUAUUUUGCCUAUACAUGAAGACAAGGAUAUAGGUCGAUAUGAAUCGGCGUUAUUUGGAGGUUUACCAGGCUUAAGGACUGGGAUCACACAUUGCGUUUUCCAAGACUGCGGAAUUAUUUGUUUCGACCAUAAUGCAUUGAAGAUGGCUAAUAAAAUAUCUAGUACUGUUGAA